AUUGAACGCUGGCGGCAGGCCUAACACAUGCAAGUCGAGCGGAUGAAGGGAGCUUGCUCCUGGAUUCAGCGGCGGACGGGUGAGUAAUGCCUAGGAAUCUGCCUGGUAGUGGGGGAUAACGUCCUGAAACGGGCGCUAAUACCGCCUACGUCCUGAGGGAGAAAGUGGGGGAUCUUCGGACCUCACGCUAUCAGAUGAGCCUAGGUCGGAUUAGCUAGUUGGUGGGGUAAAGGCCUACCUAGGCGACGAUCCGUAACUGGUCUGAGAGGAUGAUCAGUCACACUGGAACUGAGACACGGUCCAGACUCCUACGGGAGGCAGCAGUGGGGAAUAUUGGACAAUGGGCGAAAGCCUGAUCCAGCCAUGCCGCGUGUGUGAAGAAGGUCUUCGGAUUGUAAAGCACUUUAAGUUGGGAGGAAGGGCAGUAAGUUAAUACCUUGCUGUUUUGACGUUACCAACAGAAUAAGCACCGGCUAACUUCGUG
This 484-nucleotide ribosomal RNA is filed under the name uncultured bacterium. Its description in RNAcentral is "partial 16S ribosomal RNA". It matches the Rfam family "Bacterial small subunit ribosomal RNA", at positions 30 to 507 of the family's 1533-position model. The record is from RNAcentral.